This 542-nucleotide ribosomal RNA is filed under the name Campylobacter coli. RNAcentral's name for it is "bacterial SSU rRNA". It matches the Rfam family "Bacterial small subunit ribosomal RNA", at positions 977 to 1522 of the family's 1533-position model. Lineage: Bacteria; Pseudomonadati; Campylobacterota; Epsilonproteobacteria; Campylobacterales; Campylobacteraceae. The record is from RNAcentral. RNAcentral also lists the same sequence under 1 other name.
GGGCUUGAUAUCCUAAGAACCUUUUAGAGAUAAGAGGGUGCUAGCUUGCUAGAACUUAGAGACAGGUGCUGCACGGCUGUCGUCAGCUCGUGUCGUGAGAUGUUGGGUUAAGUCCCGCAACGAGCGCAACCCACGUAUUUAGUUGCUAACGGUUCGGCCGAGCACUCUAAAUAGACUGCCUUCGUAAGGAGGAGGAAGGUGUGGACGACGUCAAGUCAUCAUGGCCCUUAUGCCCAGGGCGACACACGUGCUACAAUGGCAUAUACAAUGAGACGCAAUACCGCGAGGUGGAGCAAAUCUAUAAAAUAUGUCCCAGUUCGGAUUGUUCUCUGCAACUCGAGAGCAUGAAGCCGGAAUCGCUAGUAAUCGUAGAUCAGCCAUGCUACGGUGAAUACGUUCCCGGGUCUUGUACUCACCGCCCGUCACACCAUGGGAGUUGAUUUCACUCGAAGCCGGAAUACUAAACUAGUUACCGUCCACAGUGGAAUCAGCGACUGGGGUGAAGUCGUAACAAGGUAACCGUAGGAGAACCUGCGGUUGGA